Ribosomal RNA from Denticeps clupeoides (denticle herring), 152 nucleotides. Lineage: Eukaryota; Metazoa; Chordata; Actinopteri; Clupeiformes; Denticipitidae. The record is from Ensembl.
GCUUACGGCCAUACCAGCUGAUGAACGCCCGAUCUCAUCUGAUCUCGGACGCUAAGAACGCCAAAUCUCGUCUGAUCUGGGAAGGUUAGAAGGCUUGGGCCUGGUUAGUAUUUGAAUGGGAGACUGCCUGAGAAUACCAGGUGUUGUAAGCU